Oryzias melastigma (Indian medaka) is the source of this 2030-nucleotide long non-coding RNA. RefSeq lists it as uncharacterized. Lineage: Eukaryota; Metazoa; Chordata; Actinopteri; Beloniformes; Adrianichthyidae. The transcript is spliced from 2 exons. The record is from RefSeq and is a predicted model, not a curated record.
UGUGAAUGGGUGAAUGGGUCUGUGACUGUGAAGCACUUUGGGCUCUCGAAGGAGGGUAGCGAGCGCUAUACUAGUAUACGCCAUUUACCAUGAUAUUACCCAACACUUAUCUCAAUUUCUAACAUACGAUACAUAGGGAUUGACAAGAAAAGGUAGUGAUAGGCAACGUCCCAAUGUGGAAGAAGGGAAUUUCUUACUUGUGGUCCCAAAAUGUGCAAUCAGGUGCUUGCAAACUUCUUUACUGCUUUUCUUUAUGGUGUGUCAUAAACCAAAGGCCACUGUUUUUCAGAACCGUGUUUAUAGAAUGCUGAUAGAAAACCGUGUAAGGCUCUUUCCGACAAAAACAGAGCGUCAUAAGGACAUCAGAGAUAAUGUGAAAUGAAGGAAUGUGAUUGGAUCCAAGCGUGCCCUUAAGUUAUAAAUACGGAAUACAUACGGAGGAGUCAAUAAACACAGAGCUUUGACCGGUGGCAACAAGAUAUACUGCAUUUGUCACUGUUGCCUCACCUGAGUUCUUCAAGUCCAUGCAGACCAGCUGAAACAGCAGACCAGGAUCUGUUAAAGCUUGAAGUCAUGGCAUUGGGUUUGGAAAAAUUAUCUGAACGUGACAGCUUGGAGAUCGUGCAACUCCGACCUAACGGAAUACGGCAAAAAUACUGCAGUAAGAGAAAGAGGAGCUCUAAAGACUUUUUCCAUCCAUUGAUGAACUACGAGCAGCAGACGGAGCUUCAGGAGGGAAAUAGUGGGAGCAAAGAUGGACUUCCAGCAAGCAGGUAUCCCUUUCAUCCUCUCACGUGGACAAUCAGCAGGACAUCCAGCGCACUCAACUCUUACCAUCUGUCAACGUGACUGUUGGUCAUGCUCCUGCCUGUGUGGAGAUUCAAAUCCACUCCGUUUCCACCUUUCCUCCAUGACAACAAUGGUCACCCACACCCCUCUCCUCAAAUCCAGCUCUUCAAGAUGGGUUUUUUGGUUGCUGGCAGGUCACUCUUGAAUGUCCUCGGUUUGCCUCUCAAAAGACACAAAUCCAAGUCACCUCAACAGGUGUCUUUUACUGCAUCAGAACAGCUGUUCAAACGCUUUCUGAUGGAAUCCGCUCCUCGUCUGGAGCGCAAACCUCUCAAAAAGCUGUACAAAUACAGAAAAAAAAGACUGCACUUUGAGGGUUUUUAUAGAUAUGUAUAUUAUUUUUCUAUUAUAUUUAACAAACACUCGUAAAAUACAUGUAAAAUCUUUGAUUGUUCACAUGACUUACAUUUAAGUCCAAGCACAUUUUUAUUAAAUUAAAUAAGCUAUUCCUUUCUCCUUGCUUGAGUGUUUCUUUGUAUUGUUUGUAAGAUAUUUCUAUUGACUCAUAUUCUCCUGACUACCAGCAAUGCAUUUUUUUCCUCUUUAGAGGAUAUUUCUAAACCUAAAGAUAUCUCCCAACUGAUGCAUACUGCUGAAUUAACUAUUUUGGGAAUGGCAGAAGACAUUUGAGGCUUUUCUGGAGGGUGGGUUCUGGGAAUUGUAGUUUUUGGUGGAUUUAAAAAAAAAAAAAAGAUUGAUUGAUUUGGUUUAUUGUUUUAUUUCAACCAUAAAUUGCAAUCAAUACAAAAAAAUCACAGGUUUAUUAAGCUCAUUUCAGAUAUGGUGAAAUGUAUUGCUUAAAAAAAACCACAAUUAUUUUUUUUUUAAUAUAGUGACUAUUAACCGAUUCAGAUCAAUCACUGCUAACUAUUUCUUGCUCCAACAUAUCCCUCAAGAAUUGGCGACUAUAUUGACAUCAUUUAAUUAGUCAUUUUUCACCACAAAAUUGUCACUUUGGACAAUAGAGACCAAACAAUAAAAUACUACAUGUUUUUGAGUCUUUGCUAUAACUAAUCAAUCAAAGUGAUCACCUGGUGAAAGGUAAAUGUCUUUUGAACAUCAGCAUACCAGGAUUUGUUCACAAAAUCAAUGUCCAAUCCAGUCCCUUUUUUAACAUCCUGCCAACAAUUCCCCACCUGCCCUACCUCUUGGUAUCAGUAAACUUCCUGCAAAAAAAAAAA